RNAcentral lists this ribosomal RNA (329 nucleotides) under uncultured Clostridium sp. RNAcentral describes it as "bacterial SSU rRNA". It matches the Rfam family "Bacterial small subunit ribosomal RNA", at positions 568 to 898 of the family's 1533-position model. The record is from RNAcentral. Lineage: Bacteria; Bacillati; Bacillota; Clostridia; Eubacteriales; Clostridiaceae.
UGCGUAGGUGGUUUCUUAAGUCAGAGGUGAAAGGCUACGGCUCAACCGUAGUAAGCCUUUGAAACUGGGAAACUUGAGUGCAGGAGAGGAGAGUGGAAUUCCUAGUGUAGCGGUGAAAUGCGUAGAUAUUAGGAGGAACACCAGUUGCGAAGGCGGCUCUCUGGACUGUAACUGACACUGAGGCACGAAAGCGUGGGGAGCAAACAGGAUUAGAUACCCUGGUAGUCCACGCCGUAAACGAUGAGUACUAGCUGUCGGAGGUUACCCCCUUCGGUGGCGCAGCUAACGCAUUAAGUACUCCGCCUGGGAAGUACGCUCGCAAGAGUGAA